Molecule: ribosomal RNA, 206 nt
Filed under: uncultured bacterium
Lineage: Bacteria
Description: partial 16S ribosomal RNA
Rfam family: Bacterial small subunit ribosomal RNA
Source: RNAcentral
UGCGUAGGUGGCGCCGUAAGUCGGGUGUGAAAUUUCGGAGCUUAACUCCGAAACUGCAUUCGAUACUGCGGUGCUUGAGGACUGGAGAGGAGACUGGAAUUCAUGGUGUAGCAGUGAAAUGCGUAGAGAUCAUGAGGAAGACCAGUGGCGAAGGCGGGUCUCUGGACAGUUCCUGACACUGAGGCACAAGGCCAGGGGAGCAAACG